AAAGUGCGAUAAGCAAUGCGAAUUGCAGAAUUCCGCGAAUCAUCAGAUCCUUGAACGCAACUGGCGCUAGGGGGAUCUCCCCCUAGCAUGUCUGUUUCAGUGUCUGCAAACAUCACAUAUACCUUAAUGUGGUUGACAAAGUUAGUGCCGAAAUUGGUGGUAUCUUAUCAUCUCUAUCACACUAUACCUAGUCUUCCAUGAAAGAUGUGUCUGUGGGGUCUUUGAGCUCCUCAUCGCAUUUUGGUCACUGAUUCCAGUGAUUCCGAUCGAGGAGUAACUCAAUUAUCCGUAUAUACAGACAGGAACUCACAUUUAGGUAGCUAAUAACUAUCUAGAUUAUCUUCAAACUCUGCAUCUGAAAUCAGGCAAGAUCACCCGCUGAACUUAA
Molecule: unclassified non-coding RNA, 388 nt
Filed under: uncultured fungus
Lineage: Eukaryota; Fungi
Description: sequence contains ITS1
Rfam family: 5.8S ribosomal RNA (bases 1-105)
Source: RNAcentral